This is a non-coding RNA of Peniophora sp. CONT, 83 nucleotides long. NCBI's taxonomy places the organism in Eukaryota, Fungi, Basidiomycota, Agaricomycetes, Russulales, Peniophoraceae. The record is from Rfam.
GGUCCUGUAGUGUAGUGGUUAUCACAGCGGAUUCUGACCUCAAGAUUAUUCCGCUAACCCAGGUUCGAGUCCUGGCAGGACCU